RNAcentral lists this unclassified non-coding RNA (405 nucleotides) under soil metagenome. Its description in RNAcentral is "partial contains 5.8S ribosomal RNA, internal transcribed spacer 2, and large subunit ribosomal RNA". The stretch from base 1 to 122 matches the Rfam family "5.8S ribosomal RNA", at positions 35 to 154 of the family's 154-position model. The record is from RNAcentral.
GAUGAAGAACGUAGCAAAAUGCGAUACUUGGUGUGAAUUGCAGAAUCCCGUGAACCAUCGAGUUUUUGAACGCAAGUUGCGCCCGAAGCCUUUUGGCCGAGGGCACGUCUGCCUGGGCGUCACGCAUCGCGUCGCCCCCCCACAAUUCUCCGUAAAGGGAACUUGUGUUUUGGGGGCGGAUAUUGGUCUCCCGUGCUCAUGGCGUGGUUGGCCGAAAUAGGAGUCCUUUCGAUGGACGCACGAACUAGUGGUGGUCGUAAAAACCCUCGUCUUUUGUUUCGUGCUGUUGCUCGCAAGGUAAACUCGUUAAAACCCCCAAUGUGUCGUCUCUUGACGACGCUUCGACCGCGACCCCAGGUCAGGCGGGACUACCCGCUGAGUUUAAGCAUAUCAAUAAGCGGAGGA